UGAGUACGAGAUGCUACGGCAUCGAAGCAGUCUAUGUCAUACUUCCAAGAAAAGCUUGCAAUGUCAUAAACAAAUAAUGCCUGUACCAUAACCGACACAGGUGGGUAGGUAGAGUAUACUAAGGGGCGCGAGAUAACUCUCUCUAAGGAACUCGGCAAAAUGACUCCGUAACUUCGGGAGAAGGAGUGCCUUAUUUUUAUAAGGUUGCAAUAACAAGAUCCAAGCAACUGUUUACCAAAAACACAGGUCUCCGCUAAGUCGUAAGACGAUGUAUGGGGGCUGACGCCUGCCCAGUGCCAGAAGGUUAAAGAAGUUGGUUAGCAUUAGCGAAGCUGAUAACUGAAGCCCUGGUGAACGGCGGCCGUAACAAUAACGGUCCUAAGGUAGCGAAAUUCCUUGUCGGGUAAGUUCCGACCCGCACGAAAGGCGUAAUGAUUUGGAUACUGUCUCGGAGAGGGGCUCGGUGAAAUAGACUUGUCUGUGAAGAUGCGGACUACCUGCACCUGGACAGAAAGACCCUAUGAAGCUUUACUGUAACUUGAGAUUGAAAUUGGACUUUAUCUGCGCAGUAUAGGUGGGAGACGUUGAAAAUAUUCUUGCGGGAAUAUUGGAGUCAUCAGUGAGAUACCACUCUUAUAAUGUUAGAUUUCUAACUUUGUAUCAUUAUCUGGUCAAAGAACAGUUUCAGGCGGGCAGUUUGACUGGGGCGGUCGCCUCCCAAACGGUAACGGAGGCGCACAAAGGUUUCCUCUGAACGUGUAGAAAUCGUAUCUAGAGUGUAAAGGCAUAAGGAAGCUUGACUGUGAGACCUACAAGUCGAGCAGGGACGAAAGUCGGUCUUAGUGAUCUGACGGUGCUGAGUGGAAAGGCCGUCACUCAACGGAUAAAAGUUACUCUAGGAUAACAGGCUGAUCUCCCCCAAGAGUUCACAUCGACGGGGAGGUUUGGCACCUCGAUGUCGGCUCAUCGCAUCCUGGGGCGGUAGUACGUCCCAAGGGUUGGGCUGUUCGCCCAUGAAAGCGGUACGCGAGCUGGGUUCAGAACGUCGUGAGACAGUUCGGUCCAUAUCCGGUGUAGGCGUUAGAAUAUUGAGAGGAGCCUUCUUUAGUACGAGAGGACCGAGAAGGACAUACCUCUGGUGUACCAGUUAUCGUGCCAACGGUAAACGCUGGGUAGCCAUGUAUGGAGAGGAUAACCGCUGAAAGCAUCUAAGUGGGAAGCCCACCUCAAGAUAAG
RNAcentral lists this ribosomal RNA (1236 nucleotides) under metagenome. Its description in RNAcentral is "bacterial LSU rRNA". It matches the Rfam family "Bacterial large subunit ribosomal RNA", at positions 1564 to 2808 of the family's 2925-position model. The record is from RNAcentral.